UACGGAGGGUGCGAGCGUUGUCCGGAAUCACUGGGCGUAAAGGGCGCGUAGGCGGUCUGCUAAGCGUGUGGUGAAAGCUCGGGGCUCAACCCCGAGUCGGCCAUGCGAACUGGUGGACUCGAGCACUGUAGAGGCAGGUGGAAUUCCGGGUGUAGCGGUGGAAUGCGUAGAGAUCCGGAAGAACACCGGUGGCGAAGGCGGCCUGCUGGGCAGUAGCUGACGCUGAGGCGCGAUAGCGUGGGGAGCAAACAGG
RNAcentral lists this ribosomal RNA (253 nucleotides) under uncultured bacterium. RNAcentral's name for it is "partial 16S ribosomal RNA". It matches the Rfam family "Bacterial small subunit ribosomal RNA", at positions 524 to 776 of the family's 1533-position model. The record is from RNAcentral.